RNAcentral lists this ribosomal RNA (484 nucleotides) under uncultured bacterium. RNAcentral's name for it is "partial 16S ribosomal RNA". It matches the Rfam family "Bacterial small subunit ribosomal RNA", at positions 30 to 507 of the family's 1533-position model. The record is from RNAcentral.
AUUGAACGCUGGCGGAAUGCUUUACACAUGCAAGUCGAACGAUGAACCUUAGCUUGCUAAGGGGAUUAGUGGCGAACGGGCGAGUAAUAUAUCGGAACGUGCCUUGUAAUGGGGGAUAACUAGUCGAAAGAUUAGCUAAUACCGCAUACGCCCUGAGGGGGAAAGUAGGGGAUCUUCGGACCUUACGUUAUAAGAGCGGCCGAUAUCUGAUUAGCUAGUUGGUGGGGUAAUGGCCUACCAAGGCGACGAUCAGUAGCUGGUCUGAGAGGACGACCAGCCACACUGGAACUGAGACACGGUCCAGACUCCUACGGGAGGCAGCAGUGGGGAAUUUUGGACAAUGGGCGCAAGCCUGAUCCAGCCAUUCCGCGUGAGUGAAGAAGGCCUUCGGGUUGUAAAGCUCUUUCGCAAGGGAAGAAAACUUACCAUCGAAUAAAUGGUGAGGCUGACGGUACCUUGAUAAGAAGCACCGGCUAACUACGUG